RNAcentral lists this ribosomal RNA (440 nucleotides) under uncultured bacterium. RNAcentral describes it as "partial 16S ribosomal RNA". It matches the Rfam family "Bacterial small subunit ribosomal RNA", at positions 338 to 795 of the family's 1533-position model. The record is from RNAcentral.
CCUACGGGGGGCAGCAGUGAGGAAUAUUGCACAAUGGGGGAAACCCUGAUGCAGCGACGCCGCGUGAGUGAAGAAGGACUUCGGUGUCUAAAGCUCUAUCAGCAGGGAAGAAAAUGACGGUACCUGAGUAAGCAGCCCCGGCUAACUACGUGCCAGCAGCCGCGAUAAUACGUAGGGGGCAAGCGUUAUCCGGAUUUACUGGGGGUAAAGUGAGCGUAGACGGCAGUGCAAGUCUGGAGUGAAAGGCGGGGGCUCAACCCCCGGACUGCUCGGGAAACUGUACGGCUGGAGUGCAGGAGAGGUAAGUGGAAUUCCUAGUGUAGCGGGGAAAUGCGUAGAUAUUAGGAGGAACACCAGGGGCGAAGGCGGCUUACUGGACUGUAACUGACGUUGAGGCUAGAAAGCGUGGGGAGCAAACAGGAUUAGAUACCCCUGUAGUC